This 447-nucleotide ribosomal RNA is filed under the name uncultured Sphingobacteriales bacterium. Its description in RNAcentral is "bacterial SSU rRNA". It matches the Rfam family "Bacterial small subunit ribosomal RNA", at positions 934 to 1382 of the family's 1533-position model. Lineage: Bacteria; Pseudomonadati; Bacteroidota; Sphingobacteriia; Sphingobacteriales. The record is from RNAcentral.
GGAGCAUGUGGUUUAAUUCGAUGAUACGCGAGGAACCUUACCUGGGCUCGAACGUAAGAUGACUGUAGGUGAAAGCUUACAUCUCUUCGGAGCAUUUUACGAGGUGCUGCAUGGUUGUCGUCAGCUCGUGCCGUGAGGUGUCGGGUUAAGUCCCAUAACGAGCGCAACCCUACCUUUAGUUGCCAUCAGGUAAUGCUGGGGACUCUAAAGGAACUGCCUACGCAAGUAGUGAGGAAGGCGGGGAUGACGUCAAAUCAGCACGGCCCUUACGUCCAGGGCUACACACGUGCUACAAUGGCCGAUACAGAGGGCAGCUACCUGGUGACAGGAUGCAAAUCUCCAAAGUCGGUCUCAGUUCGGAUCGGAGUCUGCAACCCGACUCCGUGAAGUUGGAUUCGCUAGUAAUCGCGCAUCAGCCAUGGCGCGGUGAAUACGUUCCCGGGCCUU